AUUGAACGCUGGCGGAAUGCUUUACACAUGCAAGUCGAGCGGCAGCGCGGCCUUCGGGCUGGCGGCGAGCGGCGAACGGGUGAGUAAUGCAUCGGAACAUGCCCAGUCGUGGGGGAUAACACUUCGAAAGAAGUGCUAAUACCGCAUACGUCCUGAGGGGGAAAGCGGGGGAUCGCAAGACCUCGCGCGAUUGGAGUGGCCGAUGUCAGAUUAGCUAGUUGGUGGGGUAAAGGCCUACCAAGGCGACGAUCUGUAGCUGGUCUGAGAGGAUGAUCAGCCACACUGGGACUGAGACACGGCCCAGACUCCUACGGGAGGCAGCAGUGGGGAAUUUUGGACAAUGGGGGCAACCCUGAUCCAGCCAUGCCGCGUGAGUGAAGAAGGCCUUCGGGUUGUAAAGCUCUUUCGGCAGGAACGAAACGGUGGGCUCUAACAUAGUCCGCUAAUGACGUUACCUGCAGAAUAAGCACCGGCUAACUACGUG
RNAcentral lists this ribosomal RNA (484 nucleotides) under uncultured bacterium. RNAcentral's name for it is "partial 16S ribosomal RNA". It matches the Rfam family "Bacterial small subunit ribosomal RNA", at positions 30 to 507 of the family's 1533-position model. The record is from RNAcentral.